AUGCUGUGUUCUAUAUCUUCCUCUGUCUGUCCUACAAACUGGAAACAUGUGGUAAUCAUGUCUGUGGAUUUUGUUAUUGCUGUAUCCUCUAAUUCUGUUUUAUUUGUAAUUUUAGAUGGACUCAAAGCUUUAGACCCAGAUUUACAGCAACAUGGUGUGCUGUUGAUUUCUCACAAAGAAGUCAUCAAAAACACAGCUCUAAGAAGCUUCUGCACUGAAAGAAAUGACGUGUUUGCAGCUCAGAAGCUAAGGAAGCUGCCAAAAACCAUAAGGAGGUGGGAUGUAUACACAGAGGACUAGAAGGGAGAGCUGUAGUUCUGUCUGCAGUCACCAGAAGAACAGGGAAGGAUGGCUGCAGAGUACCAACUACCAUGUGGACACAUGGAUCUCUUCUAAACUGGAAGUGGGACUGAGAAACACCCAGUUUCACUGUGCCCUGAAGGCAGUAUGCACUGUAGCUUUGUUUAGAAAGUGUCAGUGUAGGCCUUUUGUUAGAAAAGGUGAGAGAAAGUAAUAGGAAGUAUCAGUAGUAUUCCUUCAGACAUAAGUGUGUGUGGAGAAAGGAGUCUGUGUGCCAAUGCAAGCUCUUGCUGUUAAAGAGAGAUGUCUUUUACACACUUAGUGCAGGAAGAUGCAGGAAAAUUAUCUUGGUGUGCUGGGUCUGUUUCACAGGUCAGUGGGACAGGAAGGUGAGGCCGUGACCUCCUCUCUAGCCCAAGUUACUCUGUGGACUGUGCAGUCUUUGCAGCACGUGGAAGAAUGUCAUCAUAACCCAACAUCUGUUGGUCAACUGUUUGCAUAGCUCCUUCCUAACAUGGCUUUAGCGGGGUGAUUAGGGUUAACAUCCUCAUCUGGUAGCAGGACCUUUUGCUUUAUGAUAUGAGAAGGUGUCCAGCUCUGCUGAGGAGCUUCACACAGACUACAGUACACAAAGAGCAGCUACCUCUUCAUCCAACCUGGGCACAAUCAUAAUAGUACUUCUGGUUAAGAGAGUAGUCAGAAAAGUAUUUGAGACUGUUGUCUUAACCAGAGUCACUUUUAAUUGUGACCUGAUUUUGAAAGGUUUGGGGCACCCUUCAGAGGAAGUUUAAGAUGUAACAGCCAUAGGUAGUCACUGUCUUUAUGGAGUUAAGAGAUUAACACGGAGAUAGUAAUUUUACAAAGAAUUAAAAAUAAUUGUUUGCAAUGAUUAAAAGGACAUUUAUUUGACAGUGUCCCCUAAAAUUGUCUAUGUGAUUACCCAUUUUACAGAUGCAAUUUCUGGUCUAACAUUUUUGCUAUCAUAAUCAACUGACUGCAAUUAGUGAGGAAGCAUGAGAGUUAUUUAGACCACACAAGUAAGGCAGUUAGCUUGCUGGCCACUAAGAUUAGUCCUUGAAAAAUGGCAUGAAUACAAACAUGAGGGUACAAAUAUUUUUAUUGCCUCUUUACUCUGUUUUAUUUUUCCUUCUCUUUCCUCCCUCCUUCUUCCAAGACGGAAAAGUAGAUGUAAGCCUCUGCUGAGGCACAGCUGAAGUUAAAAAACAAACAAUAACAACAACAAAAACACAAAGUAACAUCAAAAAGACCAACAAAACAAACAAAAAACAACUUCUUAAUUCACUGCAGCAUUUGUGCAUAACCAAGACGUUAUGUUUCAUGUUAUGUGGUACAAUCACUGAUCCCUGAGGAGUUCACACCUUGUGUGUUCUUCCCUUUCAAACUGUUAACAUUUUACCAAUCCCAAGUGAAUACAUAAAUCUCUGGGACGUUUUGAGUGUGGUACCAUUUUUUAGACUUUGCCAGUGAUUGGGCUGAGCAAAACUGUAUUCUUCCUUAUUCAUAGGGCCACACACAUUCUCGUUUUGAAAACAAUUUCAAUGUGUAAUGGAAACAUUAAGAUUUGAUGCAAAAUGGAAUAGUCGUGUUACCUCCAUGCAGUAGCUCCAUGUUCCUCACAUCACCUCAAAAUUCUGUCACUUGCUAUGUGACAGAACUGUGGCCUUGCUUUGUGAGGGCAGGAUUAGUUGCUGGUUUGUUAGAUGCCCCAGUGCUAUGCACUUUUCAUUGUUUUUAAUAACUGUUGAACUGUGAGGAGAAGGUACUUUACAGGAAAAGAAAGCUGAGGAGGGAGAUACUUAAAUCAAAGUUCCCCAAGCAUAUAGUCUCUUCUCCUAGCAAGAAAAUAGAAAAUGUAUGCAAAUGUAGAAAAUUUGUGAAAACGUAUGAAAUAUCUUUUGGAAACUCAUUUGGAAUUAAGAUUUUCUUACUGAAAUCUUUAAAUUAAAGUGUUCAGGUUCAUAGUUCCGUAUGUUUAUGUGAUUUAAGGACUGGGAAGAUGCUAUCAGCAUCUUCACUUCCUACGGCCAAUAGCUCAGGAGGAAAAAUGAAUGAGUUAAUUGAAAUGUGUAUGUUGCUAUUAUUGAAUCCUGUUCUGUUUUAGGAAUCAAAUUACACAGAUCUUAACAUUGAGCAAUAGAUCUGCUGCAUAAACAAGCCAGCUACGGUGACUUCCUCGGCUACUUCAUAUAGUAUUAUAGGACAGAGCUGUUGUAGUUUUAUUCACUCCAGUCUUCAGAUUCUACUUAGUCCUUACAUCUUUUCCUGAAGUUCAUAAUUUUCUUUGAUUCUUCUUUAUUUCCUUCCACUUUUUCUGUACAUUUUCAUGCUGUAGUUGUUUCCAUCUCUUUCUCUUUGGUGUUACAGAAAUGGAUAAAACGUCUGGAUUCACAUCUUAGAGGCAUUUUAUAUCUGUAUAGCACUUUUAACUUCAGUAUAAUUGUUCCUGAUUUACUCUAAUGCAAAAGUGAUUGGAGCUAGGCUGCCAAAACAACUAUUAUAGUGUAGCUGUAGUAAUAUCAGUGUAGGUAAAGGAACUUGCUGGUUGCGUGUAUUUGAAACAGUUCUUUUCCCUGCCAAAAUCUUCAACUGUGGUAAAGAUCUAUAAAGAAGUACCAUCAAAUAAACAAACUUUAUUUGGGGCA
RNAcentral lists this long non-coding RNA (2963 nucleotides) under Anas platyrhynchos platyrhynchos (common mallard). RNAcentral describes it as "lncRNA (ENSAPLG00000030068.1)". Lineage: Eukaryota; Metazoa; Chordata; Aves; Anseriformes; Anatidae. The record is from RNAcentral.